Molecule: ribosomal RNA, 406 nt
Filed under: uncultured bacterium
Lineage: Bacteria
Description: bacterial SSU rRNA
Rfam family: Bacterial small subunit ribosomal RNA
Source: RNAcentral
GGCGAACGGGUGAGUAGCACGUGAGCAACCUGCCCCGAAGACUGGGACAACACCGGGAAACCGGUGCUAAUACCGGAUAUCCCUAUCGGAUCGCAUGAUCCAAUAAGGAAAUGUUUUUCGCUUCGGGAGGGGCUCGCGGCCUAUCAGCUUGUUGGUGGGGUAACGGCCCACCAAGGCAUCGACGGGUAGCUGGUCUGAGAGGACGAUCAGCCACACUGGGACUGAGACACGGCCCAGACUCCUACGGGAGGCAGCAGUGGGGAAUCUUGCGCAAUGGGCGAAAGCCUGACGCAGCAACGCCGCGUGGAGGACGAAGGCUUUCUGAGUUGUAAACUCCUUUCAGCAGGGACGAUUGUGACGGUACCUGCAGAAGAAGCACCGGCCAACUACGUGCCAGCCGCCGCGG